AAGUCGUAACAAGGUUUCCGUAGGUGAACCUGCGGAAGGAUCAUUACCGAGUCCACGGGGCUUCGGCCCCCAAACUCCCACCCCUUGCGUACCUUAACCUCUGUUGCUUUGGCGGGCCUGCGCGCCCUGAAAAGGCGCGCUGCCGGCUUCUGCUGGCUCGUGCCCGCCAGAGACCCCUCCAAACUCCUGUUUUUACCGGUGUUGUCUGAGCGUAAACAUGAAUAUUAAAACUUUCAACAACGGAUCUCUUGGUUCUG
Molecule: unclassified non-coding RNA, 257 nt
Filed under: fungal sp.
Lineage: Eukaryota; Fungi
Also listed under: 1 other name
Description: partial internal transcribed spacer region
Rfam family: Eukaryotic small subunit ribosomal RNA (bases 1-46)
Source: RNAcentral